This 76-nucleotide transfer RNA is filed under the name Bacteroidetes bacterium ADurb.BinA104. RNAcentral's name for it is "tRNA-Phe". It matches the Rfam family "tRNA". Rfam says of the family: Transfer RNA (tRNA) molecules are approximately 80 nucleotides in length. Their secondary structure includes four short double-helical elements and three loops (D, anti-codon, and T loops). The record is from RNAcentral. Lineage: Bacteria; Pseudomonadati; Bacteroidota.
UGUCGCCUUAGCUUAGGUGGGAAAGCACCUGUUCAAAUUACAGGCAUGUCAUUGGUUCAAUUCCAAUAGGCGACAU